AGCAGCCGCGGUAAUUCCAGCUCCAAUAGCGUAUAUUAAAGUUGCUGCAGUUAAAAAGCUCGUAGUUGAAUUUCGGGACUAAUAUGUCGGUCGUGCCUCGGUACGUACUGGUUUAUUGGUUUCUCCCUUCUGAAGAACCAUGAUGUCAUUUAUUUGGUGUCGUGGGGAAUCAGGACUGUUACUUUGAAAAAAUUAGAGUGUUUAAAGCAGGCUCACGCUUGAAUACAUUAGCAUGGAAUAAUGAAAUAGGACGUUUGAUUCUAUUUUGUUGGUUUCUAGGAUCGACGUAAUGAUUAAUAGGGAUAGUUGGGGGCAUUAGUAUUCAAUUGUCAGAGGUGAAAUUCUUGGAUUUAUUGAAGACUAACUACUGCGAAAGCAUUUGCCAAGGAUGUUUUCAUUAAUCAAGAACGAAAGUUAGGGGAUCGAAGACGAUCAGAUACCGUCGUAGUCUUAACCAUAAACUAUGCCGACUAGGGAUCGGAUGAUGUUAAUUUUUUAAUGACUCAUUCGGCGCCUUACG
This 520-nucleotide unclassified non-coding RNA is filed under the name uncultured Glomus. RNAcentral describes it as "SSU rRNA". It matches the Rfam family "Eukaryotic small subunit ribosomal RNA", at positions 569 to 1092 of the family's 1831-position model. Lineage: Eukaryota; Fungi; Glomeromycota; Glomeromycetes; Glomerales; Glomeraceae. The record is from RNAcentral.